GUGUCAGCAGCCGCGGUAAUACGUAGGUGGCAAGCGUUGUCCGGAUUUACUGGGUGUAAAGGGUGCGCAGGCGGAUCUGUAAGUCAGAGGUGAAAUCUCACAGCUUAACUGUGAAACUGCCUUUGAUACUGCAGAUCUUGAGUUCGGGAGAGGUUGAUGGAAUUCCAGGUGUAGCGGUGAAAUGCGUAGAUAUCUGGAAGAACACCAGUGGCGAAGGCGGUCAACUGGCCCGUAACUGACGCUCAGGCACGAAAGCGUGGGUAGCAAACAGGAUUAGAAACCCCUGUAGUCC
Molecule: ribosomal RNA, 292 nt
Filed under: uncultured bacterium
Lineage: Bacteria
Description: partial 16S ribosomal RNA
Rfam family: Bacterial small subunit ribosomal RNA
Source: RNAcentral